This is a long non-coding RNA of Wyeomyia smithii (pitcher-plant mosquito), 382 nucleotides long. RefSeq lists it as uncharacterized. NCBI's taxonomy places the organism in Eukaryota, Metazoa, Arthropoda, Insecta, Diptera, Culicidae. The record is from RefSeq and is a predicted model, not a curated record. The transcript is spliced from 3 exons.
CCGUUGGUAUCGAUACAAGCAUCGCCCAUCCCUUCUGCUGAAUUAUAAUUUGAAACUGAAACCGCGAAAAACGUUUGUGAAACGCAAUGAAGAAGUUUAAACUAACCUUUUUAUUUUUAGUACUGUCCACAAUGUGGCAACAAUAUUCGUAUAAUGAUGAAGAAACAUUUGAGAAAUGAGGGGUGGUACGUUUCUAGUUAUCCUGGCUUAACCUGGCCGCAGCUUACAUAUCAACCUGCAGUAACUAUGCGGACUGCUCGCUACUCUUUUAAUUUCUGUGCUGUUUGUGGGUGUGAUCUUCGGCCUUUUUGGUUCCUUAGUAAGUAAAUAGCGUGGACUGGACCUUAGUUAAUCAUUUGAUCUUUUGCACAGAUAAUGCCGU